This is a long non-coding RNA of Harpegnathos saltator (Jerdon's jumping ant), 1109 nucleotides long. RefSeq lists it as uncharacterized. The record is from RefSeq and is a predicted model, not a curated record. Lineage: Eukaryota; Metazoa; Arthropoda; Insecta; Hymenoptera; Formicidae. The transcript is spliced from 4 exons.
UCAAUAUGCCUUAUUUUAUACAUGAGGAUGAUGUAGAAGUAAUAAUUGUAUAUAUACAAUUUCAAGGCCAAAUAGAAACAAAUCGAAAUAAUAUCCCAAAAAUUAAGGGUUAUGUUGAACAAAUAAUUCCGUCAUUUAGCGCAAUGGAAUUAAAAAAUCAUUUCAGAAUGUUACCACAGACAUUCGAAUUCAUUUUAGAGCAGAUUGCAAAUCAAUUACAACGAUUUAUAAAUGGCAAUGAAAUGAUAUCUCCAGAAAAGCAGUUUUUAAUUGCUUUGUAGCGUAUGGCAACGCCAGAUUCAUAUAGAUCAAUUCAUACUAGAUUUGGUGUUGGAAAAGGUACAUCUGUUAGAGCAGUACAGAGGGUUAGGCAAGCAUUGUGUAAUCUUGCUUCAAAAUUUAUUCAAUAGCUAACAAGAGAAAAAAUGGAAAAAAUUAAAGAAGGUUUUUCUCGUAUUGGUGCUUUUCCAAGAGUUAUUGGAGCAAUUGAUGGCACCCACAUAAAUAUACCAGCUCCUAAUAAGCAUGCAGAAGCUUACGUUAAUAGGAAAGGACAUCAAUUCAAGCUCAAGUAGUCUGUGAUCAUACGUAUCUAUUUACACAUGUGUACGUUGGAAACGUAGGAUCCGUACACGAUGCUCGGAUAUUUAGAUUGUCAGCUGUACAAGACUACAUUUCAGAUGCAUCAAAGUUUCCCAGUGACUGUCACUUGAUAGAAGAUGCUGCUUAUCCCCUGUUAAAACAGUUAAUGGUGCCAUAUGUAGAUAAUGGCCAUCUGAUAUAUCGUCAGAAGAAUUACAAUUUCUGCCUUUCAUCUUGUCGCAUGGGUGUUGAAAGAGCUAUUGGCUUGUUAAAAGGACGUUGAAGAAGCCUCCUUCAUCAUUUGGCCAUGGGAUGUGUGGAACGUAUUUCCUAUCAUUUUUUAGCGUGUUGUGUGUUACAUAUGUUUAAUGAAAAAAAACGAAAUAGAAGCAGUUAUCGUAAAUACAGACAUAGCACACCCUUAACCACAAAUACAAGAUAUAGAGCAAAACAGAGGUGAAGCAGAAGCUAAACGAGAUUUUGUGUGCUCUAUAUUUCGUAUGAGAGAAGUAUGAAAAAAACUGUGA